UAACGCGUGAGAAUCUGCCCUUAGGACGGGGACAACAGCUGGAAACGGCUGCUAAUACCCGAUGUGCCGAGAGGUGAAACAUUUAUGGCCUGAGGAUGAGCUCGCGUCUGAUUAGCUAGUUGGUGGGGUAAGAGCCUACCAAGGCGACGAUCAGUAGCUGGUCUGAGAGGAUGAUCAGCCACACUGGGACUGAGACACGGCCCAGACUCCUACGGGAGGCAGCAGUGGGGAAUUUUCCGCAAUGGGCGCAAGCCUGACGGAGCAAGACCGCGUGCGGGAGGACGGCCUAUUGGUUGUAAACCGCUUUUGAUAGGGAAGAAGUACUGACGGUACCUAUCGAAUCAGCAUCGGCUAACUCCGUGCCAGCAGCCGCGGUAAUACGGAGGAUGCAAGCGUUAUCCGGAAUUAUUGGGCGUAAAGCGUCCGUAGGUGGUUGUUCAAGUCUGCUGUUAAAGCGUGCGGCUUAACCGCAUACCAGCAGUGGAAACUGGACGACUAGAGUGCGGUAGGGGUCAGGGGAAUUCCCAGUGUAGCGGUGAAAUGCGUAGAUAUGGGAAGAACACCGGUGGCGAAAGCGCCUGACUGGACCUGCACUGACACUGAGGGACGAAAGCUAGGGGAGCGAACGGGAUUAGAUACCCCUAUUCUUCACGCUUACC
Molecule: ribosomal RNA, 659 nt
Filed under: Leptolyngbya thermarum PUPCCC 112.23
Lineage: Bacteria; Bacillati; Cyanobacteriota; Cyanophyceae; Leptolyngbyales; Leptolyngbyaceae
Description: bacterial SSU rRNA
Rfam family: Bacterial small subunit ribosomal RNA
Source: RNAcentral